GCACAAGCAGUGGAGUAUGUGGUUUAAUUCGACGCAACGCGAAGAACCUUACCAAGUCUUGACAUCCUGCAACGGAUAUAGAAAUAUGUCUUUCCUUCGGGACGCAGAGACAGGUGGUGCAUGGUUGUCGUCAGCUCGUGUCGUGAGAUGUUGGGUUAAGUCCCGCAACGAGCGCAACCCUUAUGGUCAGUUACUACGCAAGAGGACUCUGGCCAGACUGCCGUUGACAAAACGGAGGAA
RNAcentral lists this ribosomal RNA (240 nucleotides) under uncultured bacterium. RNAcentral describes it as "partial 16S ribosomal RNA". It matches the Rfam family "Bacterial small subunit ribosomal RNA", at positions 923 to 1171 of the family's 1533-position model. The record is from RNAcentral.